RNAcentral lists this long non-coding RNA (19190 nucleotides) under Triticum aestivum (bread wheat). RNAcentral describes it as "long non-coding RNA (TAES_LNC002036)". The record is from RNAcentral. Lineage: Eukaryota; Viridiplantae; Streptophyta; Magnoliopsida; Poales; Poaceae.
UGAGGACACCCGUGCGGCGGACGCGCUCGCGCUGUGAGGCAGGCCGGGAGGUGAGCUGGGUGCGCCACGCUCCGUGCGAGACGUGGGCAUGUCCAGUACCUCCUUCCCUCUCCUCACGCGGACCAACUAUCCCAGUUGGUCCGUCCUGAUGAAAGUCAUCAUGGAGGCGCGGCAUAUGUGGGAAGCCGUGGAAACCGGCAAUGUCGAGUACGAGGAGGACCGGCUGGCGAUGGAGGCGAUCUUGCGCUCCGUCCUAGAGGAGAUGGUGCUCACCCUUGGCGCAAGGAGACGGCCAAGGAAGCAUGGGACACCAUCAAGACUCUGCGCAUCGGCGUGGAGCGCGUACGGGAGUCGAAGGCCCAGACCUUGCGCCUCCAGUACGAGGAGAUCCGGUUCAAGGCCGGUGAACAAGUCGACGACUUCGCCUUGCGGCUGCAAGGUCUCGUCAACGAGCUCGUAACGCUCGGAGAUCACAUCGACAACAAGAUGGUGAUUCUCAAGUUCCUCCGCGUCGUCCCCAGGCAGUACAAGCAACUAGCCUGGUCCAUCGAGAGUUUGGUGGAUCUCUCCACCAUGACGAUCGAGGAGCUAGUAGGGCGGCUGAAGGUCGUCGAGGAGCGCGGCGAUGAAGCCGACAACCGUGCUGGCGACAUGCUGGCAACGAACUACUGCUCACCAGGGAGCAGUGGGAGGCGCAACUUCAGCAGCGCGGCCGCGACGGCUCUUCCGGCAGUGGGGGAGGCGCCCCCACGGGAAGCAGAGGUCGCGGCAGAGGCGGUGGCCGCGCCCAGAGCGGUGGCGGCAACCGCGGGCGCAAUCCAAUCCAGGCAGGGCGAGGCAGUACAACAGGAACCCCCCUAUAGCAACACAUUUUUCCGUAUCUAGAAGACCAUAUAUGCGUUGUUAGUGUCUUUACCAACGGUUUAGGAUGCGUUGCCUUAUCCGGCGUUGCUAGCGCAUAAUGCAACGCUUAUAGGCCCUGUUUGGUUCGGCUGUGGAUUUCUAAAAGCAGCUGUGAAAAAUCUGUUGUGAAAAAGCAGCUGUGGAAAAUCUGAUGUGAAAAAGAUGUAGGUCAUUUGUCAAACAGCUGAUACAACUUUUUCAGAUUUUGGCCCGCAGCGGAAUCAGAUUUUGAAAAGCACGUCCUGGGCUGCUUCCGCUUUUGGUUCAGAUUUUGGCAGCGGAUUUCUGAAAUUGGAUUCUGCUGGAUUCGCUGUUUGGUUCAGAUUCUGCUGCGCGGCAGCGGAAUCCGUCGAUAAAAGCUGAACCAAACAGGGCCAUAUUAUCGUUGGUAAAAGAGACCGUUGCAAGAGUACAACACAUAAAACAGACUUGUCCAACACUUCUAUGUGUUGGAGGGCUUGGCAACAAAGAAUACUUGUCCAACACUUCUAUGUGUUGGAGGGCUUGGCAACAAAGAAUUUGCAACGCGGUUCAUAUAUAAUGUGAAUAAUAUUUUUUUAUACAUAUUGCCAACAAUUAAAUUAGUGAUUUACAUAAUUGUGAUAAUUAUGAAUUUCCAGUAAAGACAAACAAGAGAAUAUACUCACAAGAGGAAGAAAUCAUAUAUUAAAUAAAACUGUUGGAUUACAAUAGUGCAUAUUACACAAGAAAAAUCAUCCACAUGGGAAGUAUAAUCUAAAUGUUUCUUGACGGCAAAACUUAAAUUGAAAGCAUCCCUACAACGUAACUAAAACACAAUCGAGGAACAUCAUCCAACAGGAACAUCAUCCCUACAACUUAACUAAAAUUGAAACCAUCCAUCUUCAUCAUCAUGAACAUGAACAUCAUCAUCAUCCUUGUAGUAUACUUGCCACACACACCAAUAGAAUCAUCCAUUUAUCUUUUGAAUCUACAAACAAAAAAACAAAAUGAACUGUUAACACACAAUGCAUUGACAUGAUGCAAGUAGUCAUAGAGGGAGGAUAUUACUCACUUACAGAGGUUGAGAUGCAAAAACAAAUCUACAUUACCAAGAGUAUUGCAGUUUUUGCGACUCUGUACCCAAUCUUCAAUUUUCACAAGUGCCAUAUCAACAUGCACUACCCAGAAUUCAUUAGUAAUUUCAGCACCAUCAAGUUCAAAUUUAGGAUCACAACUUACAACUGUAGCAAGAGCUACAUGUGUUAUGAUUUUUUAGGCUCAUUAAAAAUACUUUUGUUCCUACCUGUUAGAGAAAAUCAAAGUUACCAUUGGCAGAAUCAUGUCAAGCAAAAUAAUUAAUAGAAACGCGACAUAUAACAGAAAAGGUUGAGAGGCCAAGACAUGUCGUGCUUGCAUCUUCCCCUCUACUAUAUGGUUAUGAAUACAUCUACAGGUUAAUCUCAUGAUGUGCAACAUCUAUGAAAUUCUAUGAAGCCUUUCACUACAAACAAAGUAGUUUUGGUGAUGGACGCUGAAAAUAAUUAAACUUCAUAUGAUAGCUUCAGUGUAGAACACAAAGAUAGACAUUUUUAUUCGAGUAGCAGUAUGGUAUGAUCAACUGCAUAAUUCUGAGGCACCUACCGGAAGAUACUGAAGCAGAAUGUUUGGCCAUUAAUCAAGUAAAAACAUAUUACUAUAUCAAUACCUGGGACAUAUUAAGCCAAAAGAUAAAUUAAAUUUACCAAAUUAGUGCAAAUAAAACAUAUUAGACAAUAAAAAGAAGCUUUGAAGCAUAAGAUCUAUCAUAAAUGGAGUACUCCCAGUACCGACCCAAUGAUUUUGCAUGAAGUGCAGCAUGGACAGCAGGGCGGAUCAACCAUUAGUUCAUCUUUACCACCAACUCCUAAUAAAAUAGCUAGUAUAUAUCCAGAUCAAACUCUAAAUAGCACAUCUGAGCAGAUAAAUCAAAGGCAGUGACACUAUUAAGAAAAGGAGAAGACACGGCAGAGAAAACAAGACUGUAGUAUGUUCGAACAAAUAAUUAGGAUGUCUUGUUUGUAGACUACAAAUACAAAUCAGAUAUAGAUACGGCGAUCUAUUUAGUUGGAAGUUGCAGGCAUCCAAAAAAUAAUAUUGAAUGUGGUCUAAUAAUUGAACGACACUACAGAUGGACCAUGCCAAUUAAAGUUAUAUAGAAACAAUUGACAUUAUUUUUCUUUUUCUUUUUGCAAUCCAUCAGUACAUGACCUCAUGAUGAAUCAGAAACAUGGAAGUAUUUAUAAAGUUGCCAUAUGCUACAAUUUUACUUCUCUUUUCCUCAUGGUGUGUAUUCUUCCUUGUAAAGGAAAAGCACAUCAAGAGAAUAAAGGAGUGACACUACGGAUGUAGGCAAGCAUGGUAUAAAGCGGAAGCACGAACCACAAAAGAAGUGUCUAGAAUUUGGCAAACCAGCAGACAGAACCGUGUAGGUAUAUGUUGUUAAUAAUAGGAGAAGGGGUCAUCAAUCAAAUUCCAAUAGCCAAGUGAAUAAAUGGAAAACAUCCAUGGUUUUCUAUUCCUGGAACACAAUCUAGUUCAGCUAUCAUUAAAAAAUACAGAAGUCAGAUAAGUUGUAAUAGGUGUGGAAUUUUAUCUAACAUGUCACUUGACUAAAUAAGUACUACUCGUCUCAGCAUAGUUUUAUAAGAUUUGUUUCUCUUCUACUGUAUUUAGGGGUUACACAGUAAACAAUUUAUGUUCAUAAAUCAUAUGUAAAUCGCAAGAUCUGCUUGCAUAAAAAAAUUGAUAUGACACGCAGCUCACAUAAGCAUCUUUUAAAUGGCAAGCAUAGCUCGUUGUAGAUGUACUCAGUAAUAUUUUUCAGAGUUUUGUGACAAGCAACAGUAAUUGAUCAACAGAUUACCUUCCUUACGCUCUUGAACUCCAACUAUAGUGGGGAGAAAGCCUUAUGCGGCUGAGUGUUAAUGUCACUAGAUGCUGAUGGAUGAUCAUGCGGAGAACUGUGGAUCAGAAGCCCUCAGAUCCAACAAGUACUCGGCUUUGCCAUGCUCUGCACCGAUGUCCUUCUCCCCCAGCGUCCCAGCGGCCUAGUUGACCGAGCUGCAUAAAGCUGUCAAGUUGCUCCUCAGUUGUAGUAGCAGAGAACACAGAGAUCUAAAUGGUCUUUUGAGCGAAUGAAAUAUGUAAACAAAUUACUGAAUUGUGACUCAAAUAAAAGAGAGGGAGAAAGUUUUGGGGUCAUGUCCAUUGCAACAUAUCCAGUGCUUGAGUGCCAUUGCAUUUCUCUGCACCGAGUGGAGGUAACCUGCUUUGAAGUCUCGGAAACAAAUAUGACCAUAUGACGGUGUGAAUGAUCAGGCCUACAACAUAAGCAAGUGGCACCGUAAGCAGAAAGUGAAACAUUGAAUAAUCAACAUCAACCACGAGAAUAAGACAACAAGCCCUAUUAUACAAUCAGUCAAUCACAUAAUCAACAACAGGAACCAACGACUGCACAAUCAAGUUCACUUCCAUGGACUGGUGACAACCUCCUAAGCCACAACUAGAAUCAAUUCAAUCACAGAAAGAGGAUUUAGCUGGAAGCUCCCCUCCACACCAACCAGCUGUAAUUCAGUCUGUCGUUCAUUAUCAGGGAUUGGCAAGUCGUAAGUACCAAUCCCCAACUAGAUUGAAGUGAAACAGAGCAUGAUGGGGCCAACAAAAUUGGGACAAGAGAAGCGGCCCGGCUCACCGCGGCAGGCGCGAUCGCGAGGGUGGUUGUAGCUGCAGCUCUUCCCGUAGCCGCAGGCCCCCGUGCGGAGGUAGUAGACGCAGUUGGUCGCAGGGGAGCGAUGACGAGGGGCGGCGCGCCGGGAUGCAGGGUAUCAGGGGAGUGGUGACGAGCGACGGUGCGCCGGGAUGGAGGGUCGCAGGAGAGUGGUGACUGGUGAGGGGCGGCGUGCCGGGACGGAGGAUCUCAGGCGAGCGGUGAGGAGCGCGCUCCGGGAUGCAGGGUAGGUCGAGGGGAGGCGGCCGGCGAGGGGGCCUAUAGGCUCGAGAGGAAUAAGGGAUGCUGGGGACAGGGAACGAUCUAGGUUAAUCAUGACAACCAGCUUGGGCCGGGCUAGAGAUAUGUGUUGGGCUUUUGUUCGAGUUUGGCCGGUCACACAAUAGGUCAUGAGCUGCAAGCCUGCAACAGAUAUGGUACAAUGCUUGUAUGCGUAUCUUUUUCGAUAAAAGGCGCUUUUAUUAUCUCAAAAUGUAGCAUCAAAGUGAUACAAAGCAUUAAGAGUAUCACCCGACCUCUGCAUAACUAAGAUGCACACAGCCAAACACCAGUAGUCUGAUAAACAGAAAGAUAAAAGACCGACAAUUCGGCAACAGUAGAGUCCAUAGACCGACACUAUGCCUAUGUCGAAAAAGAUGAUGGACCGAGCCGGAGAUUAUGCUGCCAUCCAUGUUGGGUAAAACCUCUGUAGCCACCUGCUCCAACAGCGUACACACCGCCUUGAAUAGCGGUUGGUACUCCGCUCGUUGUAGCGUACACCACGUACGAAGCGAGUGCGUACAACGGAAAAUAACCUGCAAAGGAGAAACAGUUUUGUCAAUUAAAACAACAUCAUUUCUACAUAGCCAAAGCGACCAUAGUAAGGCAUACGCUCCCACCCUUAUUAGUGUUUUGUAUGCAUUUGAAAUACCGUCCAGUCAAUGACCAAAAAUAUUGGCAACACUUGUGGGCGGAUACAAAUUUGACACUAUUUGGAUGGCUGACCACGUAGAACACGCAAACUUACAGUGAAAAAAGAGGUGUUUAAUUGUCUCGUCAUGAGUACAAAAACAACACUUCUUACUUCCCGACCAGUUGCGUCGUGCAAGGUUGUCUUUUGUUAGCACAACUCCCCUACGGAGAUACCACAUGAAUAUUUUAACUUUAAGUGGUACCUUCGCUUUCCAAAUUUUUUGGUUAUUACUCACCGGUACCUCAGAAUGCGUGAGUGCACGAUACAUAGAGUCUACUGUGAAAAACCCUGAUGUAGUAAGGUUCCAACGAAACACAUCACGACCUUGUGUCAGGAUAAUCGAAUCUAGACGGGACAAUAGAUUAUUCCAUGACAUAAGUCGGGUGCCAAUCAAAUCCCGCCUGAACGAAAUAUUUGGCGGGGAUGAGCUGAACACUUGUGCAAUAGUAUUAUUCUUAUCGCGUGCAAUGUUGUAUAAGGCUGGAUAUUGUUCUCAGAGGCUAGCAUUGCCUAGCCAGAUGUCUUCCCAAAAACGAAUCUCUGACCCGUCCUUUAUCGCGAAAGACCCAAAGCGAAAGAGAUGUUUCUUUGCCGCCAUUAGGCCAACCCAAAAGUGUGAGUCUCCAGGUUUCCAACAUACCUGAGACACUGCCUUUUGGCCUAUAUACUUAUUGCGCAGCAUGGUUUGCCAAACACCAUCCUCUGUAAGAAGUUUGAACAACCAUUUACUAAGUAGGGCCUCAUUCUUGACCUGCAGGUCAUGAAUACCGAGGCCGCCCUGGUCUUUCGGCCUACAAACCACACUCCAUUUGGUCAGCCUAUAUUUUUUCUUUUCACCAUCUCCUUGCCAAAAGAACCUGGACCUAAAAUAAUCCAAUCUAUGCAAGACCCCCUUUGGGAGCUGGAAGAACGAAAUCAUAUAGAGGACCAUAUUUGUGAGGACAGAGUUUAUUCGAACCAGUCGUCCUCCAACCGAGAGCAACUUGCCUUUCCAGCUGCCCAAGCGUUUCUCUAGUCGCUCCUCCACAUGCUUCCACUCGGCAAUGGUGAGACGCCGAUAAUGAAUUGGUAUUCCCAAAUAUUUAAUUGGGAAUUGUCCAUGUGCACAACCAAAAAGGUCGGCAUAAUCGGCCGCUGCAUCAACGGCUUCUCCAAAGCAGAACAAUUCACUUUUAUGGAAGUUAAUUUUAAGACCUGACAUUUGCUCAAACGCUGACAGCAAGAGUUUCAGGUUUCUAGCCUUGUCUAGGUCAUGUUCCAUAAAGAGAAUUGUGUCAUCGGCAUAUUGCAGAAUAGAGAGACCACCAUCCACUAGAUGUGGCACUACUCCUGUAAUCUGUCCGUCCUGCUUGGCGCGCUCAAUCAGAAUAGCCAACAUGUCAGCCACAAUGUUAAAUAGCAUUGGGGAUAUGGCAUCACCCUGUCGUAGUCCUUUUUUUGUCUGAAAGUAAUGGCCGACAUCAUCAUUGACUUUGAUGGCCACACCACCGCCAGUUACAAAAUUUUGGAUCCACUUGCACCAUUUAUCGGAGAAGCCUUUCAUCCUUAGGGCCUGUUGGAGGAAAGACCAUUUGACCUUGUCAUAGGCUUUUUCGAAGUCUAUUUUGAAUACUACCCCACUCAUGUUUUUUCGGUGCAUCUCAUGGACGGUCUCAUGCAGGAUUACUACGCCAUCGAGUAUGUUCCUUCCUUGCAUGAAAGCUGUUUGAGAUGGCCGGACAACAUGGUCAGCUACCGAGUUUAAUCUAUUCGUCGCCACUUUGGUGAAAAUCUUGAAGCUGACAUUAAGGAGGCAUAUGGGUCUGAACUGUUGAAUCCGUUCGGCCUCCUUAAUCUUCGGCAACAAGACAAUCUCGCCAAAAUUAAGUCUGAAUAGGUCAAGUCGGUCGGCAUGAAAACAAUUGAACAACUCUAAAAGGUCAGACUUGAUCAUAUCCCAGAAAUUCUGAUAGAAUUCUGCGGGGAAACCAUCAGGGCCUGGAGCUUUGUUAUGUUCCAUUUGGAACACCGCAGCUCGCACCUCCUCUUCUGAGAAUGGUGCCGUUAGGAUAUCGUUUUCUUCUGCCGUGACCUGUGGAAUAUCAUCUGUUCGGGUCUCAUCAAGGGUGAAAUUCCCUUCAGUCGGCGCUCUGAAAAGAGAUUUGUAGUAUUUGGUGAUAUACUUUUUGAGCUCCUCCUGACCUUCGAUCCUUCCCUCAUCUUGUAUGCGUAUCUACCGUGAAUAGUCAAAACGUUGUAAAAUAUGUGUUGCUUAAUGGAGGGUAUCCUUGUAGUUGGCGCUGGCAACGGUGGCAAGUGCCGCUACUGCAACAUGCCGGGUCAUUGGAUCUGGGAUUGCCGCAGGAGGAAAGCCGACGAGGCAGCCGCGGCAACGACAAACCUCGUCCAAGCUGACGUGGACGGCGGGCCGACAAUGAUGCUGGCAAGAGUCGAGCCCAUGCAGGAGAGCACAACAUCUCUCGCGACCACGAUUCCGACAACCACCCAUUCCGUGCAGGAGGCACGGAACCCGUCCACGGGAAUCAUCACUCCAGUGACAGGCCACACCUCGACAACGACGUUUUUGGGGCCUGUCGACUGGGUGGCGAUGAAGGCUCGGGUGUGGGGGCCGGAGCCACACCCCGGCGACGGCGUCCCCGAACUCGGGACCCGACGAGGUCGCACAAGUUGGCGCGGCAACGACGCGUAUGGCGGACCAUGCUCCGACCAUGAUGCUGGCGACCAUCGACUCCGUGCAGGAGCGCACGGAGACUCAGGUCAACCACACCACAACAACAAAGUGUUCGGGGUCCAUCGUAUUGACGGGAGUUGGCUCCCUGACAACGGCAUGUGCGUGCGGCUACGUCUUCCUCAACGAGGAGAGAGCCGUGACCACACCCACGCUUGCAGGCGGCAAGCAAAGUGAGGGUUGUUCCUCGACACCGGCGCCACGAACCACAUGACUGGUUCGGUCGACGCGUUCAUGGAGCUGGACCGCUCAAUCACUGGGAAGGUGCGGUUCGCGGACGGACCCAUGGUGGAGAUCCACGGGUGCGGGACCGUCGUCUUCGCCGACAAAGGAGGUGAUCAUAGGGCGUUCACGGACAUCUACUUCAUCCCGGCUCUCAAGAGAAGCGUCGUGAGUGUUGGACAACUCGACGAGGGCUGGUUCGACAUCGACAUCUGGCGCGGUGUUCUCACCGUGCACGACCAGCAGAAGAGGCUGCUCAUCGAGGUAACCCGCUCGGCAAACCGCCUCUACAAGCUCUUCUUUCGACCCGUGCGUCCUGUGUGCCUUGCCGUGGGCCAUGUCUCCGACGCAUGGCGUUGGCAUGCCCGGCUAGGACACCAGCACUUCGAUGGGUUGCGGAAGAUGGCGCGAGGAUACCUCGUUCAUGGGCUACCUCACAUCGAGCACGCCGACGAGCUGUGUGAUGCGUGUCUUGCCGGGAAGCAGCGGCGCCUACCCUUUACUGAGAAGGCACGCUAUCGGGCGCAGAAACCCCUGGAGCUGGUUCACGGGGACCUCUGCGGCCCAAUCACCCCGGCAACGCCAGGAGGGCGUCGCUACAUCCUGCUGCUCGUCGACGACUAUAGCAGGUUCAUGUGGGUGCUGCUCCUCGCCUCCAAGGAUGAGGCGGAGCAAGCCAUCGUCAAGCAGCAAGCGGCAGCAGAGGUCGAGUAUGGCCACAAGCUGCGCGUGCUGCGCACGGACCGUGGCGGCGAGUUCACGUCAGCCACGUUCUACAAGCACUACGAUGAGAACGGGGUGCAACGUCACCUCACAGCCCCUUACUCGCCGCAGCAGAAUGGCGUCGUCGAGCGGAGGAACCAGACGGUGUUCGGGAUGGCAUGCUGCAUGCUCAAGGCAAAGCAGGUGCCGAGCACGUAUUGGGGGGAGGACGUGCUCACGGCCGUCUUCAUCCUCAACCGCUCCUUCACAACGAGCAUCGACGGCAAGACACCUUAUGAGGCAUGGUAUGGGAGGAAGCCCAAUGUAUGCUUCCUCCGCACCUUUGGCUGCGUCGGGCAUGUCAAGACGGCGUGCCCACAGCUGAAGAAGCUCAACGACAAGAGCACCUCGAUGGUGUUCAUGGGCUACGAGACGGGCUCUAAGGCGUACAAGAUGUACGACCCCGUCUCAAAGCGUGUGCAUGUCUCGCGCUAUGUCAUCUUCGACGAAGACGCGCGAUGGACUUGGGAGGCGUCGGGGGAGGCCCCGGCAAGCAGCUCCUUCAUCGUGGAGUACCCGAUGUACUCUAGGACCCCGGGAAGCAAGACCCUGGGAAGUGCCACCCCGGGAAGCCCGAGAGGUGUGGAUCCGGGAACCGCAACCCCGAGAACACCGUCCCUGGGUACGGUGUCCCCGGACAACCCGACGUCAAGCAAGGUGGGUCCCGGGAGGCAGUUCGCAACCCUGCUAACGGCGAGGUCGGAGCUGUUCGACGCCGCUGACAGCGUUGGCACCCCCCACAGGUUUCGGCGCAUGGGGGAUCUCCUCGGCGAGGCUGCGGCAACACCGCAACAGCCCGAGGAAGAGGACGUUGAUGACGACGACGUCUUGCAUCUGAUGGCCGGUGAGGAGCCGACCACAUUCGCGGAGGCCGAGCAAAAGAUUGUUGGCGCCACGCAAUGCUGGACGAGCUGGCAUCGAUCAACGACAACGCCACUUGGACACUCAUCACACUGCCUGCUGGGCACCGAGCCAUCGGGCUCAAGUGGGUGUUCAAGGUCAAGAAGGACGAGCACGGCGCCAUUGUCAAGCACAAGGCAUGCCUCGUCGCAAAGGGCUACGUGCAGCGUGAGGGAGUGGACUUCGAGGAAGUCUUCGCUCCGGUGGCAAGGCUGGAGUCCGUGCGACUCAUCCUUUCCGUGGCUGCUCACCGCGGGUGGGAGGUACACCACAUGGACGUCAAGUCAGCGUUUCUCAAUGGCGACCUUAAUGAGGAGGUGUACGUCUCCCAGACUCCAGGGUUCGUUGCCAAGAACGACGAGCAGGGCGUGUACAGGAUACACAAGGCCCUGUAUGGUCUCCGGCAAGCCCCAAGGGCGUGGAACACCAAGCUUGAUGCAAGCCUCGCAUCCCUUGGGUUCUCACGCAGCGUUUCUGAGCACGACGUGUACUCGCGUGGCACCACGAACACGCUCCCCAUCGUCGGCAUCUACGUCGACGACCUAGUCAUCGCUGGGGCAGAGCCCGAAGAGGUUCGACGCUUCAAGGGAGAGAUGCAUCGUCUCUUCAAUAGCGACCUCGGGCUGCUCCGGUACUACCUCAGUCUAGAGGUAAACCAGGAGGGUGGUCGCAUCACGAUCACGCAGACGGCCUACGCCACCAAGAUGCUCGAGUGAGCAGGCAUGAAGGACUGCUAUGUUGUGCAUGCUCCAAUGGAGGCACGGCUGAAGCUCAGCAAGGAUAGCUCCGAGAAGGCGGUGGAUGCUACAUUCUACCGCAACAUCAUCGGGAGCCUCAGGUACCUCGUGCACACCCGACCGAACAUCACGUUCGUUGUCGGGUACCUGAGUAGAUUUAUGGAAGCCCCGGCAAGCGAUCACCUCGCUGCCGUUAAGCACCUGCUCCGGUACAUCGCAGGUACACUCACGCAUGGAUGCGUGUAUCGUCGUGGCGACGACGAGAGCUUGGUCAGAUACAGCGUCUCCGACCAUGCUUGUGACGUGGACUCCUGGAAGAGCACCUCGGGCAUACUGUUCCUUCUCGAGAAUAGUCCAGUCAGCUGGCAAUCGGUGAGGCAGGAGGUUGUCGCUGCAUCUUCGUGUGAGGCGGAGUACAUAGCGGCAGCUACAGCAGCCUGUCAAGGCAUUUGGCUUGCUCGCCUUCUUGGCGAGAUGCUGAAUCAGAACACCGCCCCUGCGCUCAUCUUCAUCGACAACAAGUCGGCAAUUUCGCUCUGCAAGAAUCCAGUGCUUCAUGACCGCAGCAAGCACAUCGAUGAUCUGCGCUAUCACUUCAUACGUGACUGCGUCGAGAAAGGCACGGUGAUCGUGGAGUUCAUCAGGACUGGUGAGCAGAAGGCGGACAUCCUGACCAAGUCACUUGGUCGCGUCCAGUUCCAAGAACUGCGCGACAAAGUCGGGCUCAUGGAUAUCAAGCUCCUUCGACAAGGUUGAGGGGGAGAUUGUUGGGUCAACCAUAGUCUUCGGUUGCAUGCUCGCAACAGCAGUAGCUUCCUUGGCUUGAAAGGAAGUGGUAUUCACCUAGUAGUUUCCUGGUAGUUCACUUAGCAUUGCAGGGAAGUUGACUAGUAGCAGACUAGAGCUGUGCAUGCAAUUACGUAGUAGCUUCCUAGUAGUUUCUAGAAAUAUGCUUUGCAGGGUAGUGGUAGCAGUCCCGUGAGUGGCAUGCAAGGACGUAGGUAAUUUCGUGUGUGUGUGUGUGUGCAUUGUGCACGACCAGCCCUAUAAAAGGACCCCGGUCCUUCAGUUGUAAUAAGGCCAUUUUCAUUUCUAUCCAGCCAAGCCUCAAGUGUAGUACUACUACAUAUGCGUGUGUGUGUGCAAAACAGCACUUGCAAGUGUGCUUUGCCAUUCUGCUUGUUGCUUCGGUAGUAUACUUGAGUGCAAGUAGUAGUAGGCUAGUACCACACAGCCGUUGCCCUGUGUAGUUCAUCUCAUCCUUGACUUCGUCCGAUCCUGAGUAGCCAGCUACUCUGUACGUAGUUCGGGCUGACAAUUGGCACCAGAGCCUCAGGUUAUGCCGAAGCAUAUGCCGAAAGGAGGCGUUGCCGACGAUGGUUCCAAGACCGCCGAGCAAAGCUCGACUGAGGACACCCGUGCGGCGGACGCGCUCGCGCUGUGAGGCAGGCCGGGAGGUGAGCUGGGUGCGCCACGCUCCGUGCGAGACGUGGGCAUGUCCAGUACCUCCUUCCCUCUCCUCACGCGGACCAACUAUCCCAGUUGGUCCGUCCUGAUGAAAGUCAUCAUGGAGGCGCGACAUAUGUGGGAAGCUGUGGAAACCGGCAAUGUCGAGUACGAGGAGGACCGGCUGGCGAUGGAGGCGAUCUUGCGCUCCGUCCCAGAGGAGAUGGUGCUCACCCUUGGCGCCAAGGAGACGGCCAAGGAAGCAUGGGACACCAUCAAGACUCUGCGCAUCGGCGUGGAGCGCGUACGGGAGUCGAAGGCCCGGACCUUGUGCCUCCAGUACGAGGAGAUCUGGUUCAAGGCCGGUGAACAAGUCGACUACUUCGCCUUGCGGCUGCAAGAGGUCUCGUCAACGAGCUCGCAAUGCUCGGAGAUCACAUCGACAACAAGAUGGUGAUUCUCAAGUUCCUCCGCAUCGUCCCCAGGCAGUACAAGCAACUGGCCUGGUCCAAUGAGAGUUUGGUGGAUCUCUCCACCAUGACGAUCGAGGAGCUGGUAGGGCGGCUGAAGGUCGUCGAGGAGCGCUGCGACGAAGCCGACAACCGUGCUGGCGGCGAACUAUACUGCUCACCAAGGAGCAGUGGGACGCACAGCUUCAGCAGCGCGGCCGCGACGGCUCUUCCGGCAGUGGGGGAGGCGCCCCCACGGGAAGCAGAGGUCGCGGCAGAGGCGGAGGCCGCGCCCAGAGCGGCCGCAGCAACCGUGGGCGCAAGCCAAGCCAGGCAGGGUGAGGCGCUGGCAAUGGUGGCAAGUGCCACUACUUCAACAUGCCGGGUCGCUGGAUCCGGGAUUGCCGCAGGAGGAAAGCCGACGAGGCAGCCGCGACAACGACAAACCUCGUCCAAGCUGACGUGGACGGCGGGCCGGCAAUGAUGCUGGCAAGAGUUGAGCCCGUGCAGGAGAGCACAACAUCUCUCGCGACCACGACUCCGAUAACCACCCAUUCCAUGCAGGAGGCACGGAACCCCUCCACGGGAACCAUCACUCCAGUGACAGGCCACACCUCGACAACGACGUUUUUGGGGCCUGUUGACUAGGAGGCGAUGAAGGCUCGGGUGUGGGGGAGCCACACCCCGGCGACGGUGUCCCCGAACUCGGGACCCGACGAGGUCGCAAGUUGGCGCGGCAACGACGCAUAUGGCGGACCAUGCUCCGACCAUGAUGCUGGUGACCAUCGACUCCGUGCAGGAGCGCACGGAGACUCAGGUCAGCCACACCCCGACAACAAAGUGUUCGGGGUUCAUCGUGUUGACGGGAGUUGGCUCCCUGACAACGGCAUUUUUGUGCGGCUACGUCUUCCUCAACGAGGAGAGAGCCGUGACCACACCCACGCUUGCAGGCGGCAAGCAAAGUGAGGGUUGGUUCCUCGACACCGGCGCCACGAACCACAUGACUGGUUCGGUCGACGCGUUCAUGGAGCUGCACCGCUCAAUCACUGGGAAGGUGCGGUUCGCGGACGGAUCCGUGGUGGAGAUCCACGGGCGCGGGACCGUCGUCUUCGUCAACAAAGGAGGUGAUCAUAGGGCGUUCACGGACGUCUACUUCAUCCCGGCUCUCAAGAGCAGCGUCGUGAGUGUUGGACAGCUCGACGAGGGCUGGUUCGACAUUGACAUCCGGCGCGGUGUAAUCACCGUGCACGACCAGCAGAAGAGGCUGCUCAUCGAGGUAACCUGCUCGGCAAACCGCCUCUACAAGCUCUUCUUUCGACCCGUGCAUCCUGUGUGCCUUGCCGUGGGCCAUGUCUCCGACGCGUGACGUUGGCAUGCCCGGCUAGGACACCAGCACUUCGACGGGUUGCGGAAGAUGGCGUGAGGAAACCUCGUUCAUGGGCUACCUCACAUCGAGCACCCCGAUGAGCUGUGUGAUGCGUGUCUUGCCGGGAAGCAGCGGCGCCUGCCCUUUAUUGAGAAGGCAGGCUAUCGGGUGCAGAAACCCCUGGAGCUGGUUCACGGGUACCUCUGCGGUCCAAUCACCCCGGCAACGCGAGGAGGGUGUCGCUACAUCCUGCUGCUCGUCGACGACUAUAGCAGGUUCGUGUGGGUGCUGCUCCUCGCCUCCAAGGAUGAGGCGGAGCAAGCCAUCGUCAAGCAGCAAGCGGCAGCAGAGGUCGAGUGUGGCCACAAGUUGCGUGUGCUGCGCACGGACCAUGGUGGUGAGUUCACGUCGGCCACGUUCUACAAGCACUAUGACGAGAAAGGGGUGCAACGUCACCUCACAGCCCCUUACUCGCCGCAGCAGAAUGGCGUCGUCAAGCGGAGGAACCAGACGGUGCUCGGGAUGGCACGCUGCAUGCUCAAGACAAAGCAGGUGCCAAGCACUUAUUGGGGGGAGGCCGUGCUCACGGCCGUCUUCAUCCUCAACCGCUCCUUCACAAGGAGCGUCGAUGGCAAGACGCCUUAUGAGGCGUGGUAUGGGAGGAAGCCCAAUGUAUGCUUCCUUCGCACCUUUGGCUGCAUCGGGCAUGUCAAGACGGCGCGUCCACAGCUAAAGAAGCUCGACGACAGGAGCACCCUGAUGGUGUUCAUGGGCUACGAGACGGGCUCUAAGGCGUACAAGAUGUACGACCCAGUCUCAAAGCGUGUGCAUGUCUCGCGCGACGUCAUCUUCGACGAAGACGCGCGAUGGAGUUGGGAGGCGUCGGGGGAGGCCCCGACAAGCAGCUCCUUCAUCGUGGAGUACCCGAUGUACUCUAGGACCCCGGGAAGCAAGACCCCGGGAAGUGCCACCCCGGGAAGCCCGGGAGGUGUGGAUCCGGGAACCGCAACCCCGAGAACACCGUCCCCGGGUACGGUGUCCCCAGACAACCCGACGUCAAGCAAGGUGGGUCCCGGGAGGCAGUUCGCAACCCUGCCAACAGCGAGGUCGGAGCUGUUCGACGCCGACGACAGCGUUGGUGCCCCCCACAAGUUUCGGCGCAUGGGGGAUCUCCUCGGCGAGGCUGCGGCAACACCGCAACAGCCCGAGGAAGAGGACGUUGAUGACGACGACGUCUUGCAUCUGAUGGCCGGUGAGGAGCCGACCACAUUCGCAGAGGCCGAGCAAGAGGAUUGUUGGUGCCACACGAUGCUGGACGAGCUGGCAUCGAUCAACGACAACGCCACUUGGACACUCACCACACUGCGUGCUGGGCACCGAGCCAACGGGCUCAAGUGGGUGUUCAAGGUCAAGAAGGACGAGCACGGCGCCAUUGUCAAGCACAAGGCAUGCCUCAUCGCAAAGGGCUACGUGCAGCGUGAGGGAGUGGACUUCGAGGAAGUCUUCGCUCCGGUUGCAAGGCUGGAGUCCGUGCGACUCAUCCUUUCCAUGGCUGCUCACCGCGGGUGGGAGGUACACCACAUGGACGUCAAGUCAGCGUUUCUCAACGGCGACCUUAACGAGGAGGUGUACGUCUCCCAGCCUCCAGGGUUCGUUGCCAAGAACCACGAGCUGGGCAUGUACAGGCUACACAAGGCCCUGUAUGGUCUCUGGCAAGUCCCAAGGGCGUGGAACACCAAGCUUGAUGCAAGCCUCGCAUCCCUUGGGUUCUCACGCAGCGUUUCUGAGCACGGCGUGUACUCGCGUGGCACCGAGAACACGCUGCUCAUCGUCGGCAUCUACGUCGACGACCUGGUCAUCACCGGGCAGAGCCCGAUGAGGUUCGACGCUUCAAGGGAGAGAUGCAUCGUCUCUUCAACAUGAGCGACCUCGGGCUGCUCCGGUACUACCUCGGUCUAGAGGUAAACCAGGAGGGUGGUCGCAUCACGAUCACGCAGACGGCCUACGCCACCAAGAUGCUCGAGCGAGCAGGCAUGAAGGACUGCUAUGUUGUGCAUGCUCCAAUGGAGGCACGGCUGAAGCUCAGCAAGGAUAGCUCCGAGAAGGCGGUGGAUGCUACACUCUACCGCAGCAUCAUCAGGAGCCUCAGGUACCUCGUGCACACCCGACCGGACAUCACGUUCGUUGUCGGGUACCUGAGUAAAUUCAUGGAAGCCCCGGCAAGCGAUCACCUCGCUGCCGUUAAGCACCUGCUCCGGUACAUCGCAGGUACACUCAUGCAUGGAUGCGUGUAUCGUCGUGGCGACGACGAGAGCUUGGUCGGAUACAGCGACUCCGACCAUGCUGGUGACGUGGAAUCUCAGAAGAGCACCUCGGGCAUACUGUUCCUUCUCGGGAAUAGUCCAGUCAGUUGGCAAUCGGCGAGGCAGAAGGUUGUCGCUGCAUCUUCGUGUGAGGCGGAGUACAUAGCGGGAGCUACAGCGGCCUGUCAAGGCAUUUGGCUUGCUCGCCUUCUUGGCGAGAUGCUGAAUCAGAACACCGCCCCUGCGCUCAUCUUCAUCGACAACAAGUCGGCGAUUUCGCUCUGCAAGAAUCCAGUGCUUCAUGACCACAACAAGCACAUCGAUCUGCGCUAUCACUUCAUACGUGACUGCGUCGAGAAAGGCACGGUGAUCGUGGAGUUCAUCAGGACUGGUGAGCAGAAGGCGGACAUCCUGACCAAGUCACUUGGUCGCGUCCAGUUCCAAGAACUGCGCGGCAAAGUCAGGCUCAUGGAUAUCAAGCUCCUUCGACAAGGUCGAGGGGGAGAUUGUUGGGUCAACCAUAGUCUUCGGUUGCAUGCACGCAGCAGCAGUAGCUUCCUUGGCUUGAAAGGAAGUGGUAUUCACCUAGUAGUUUCCUGGUAGUUCACUUAGCAUUGCAGGGAAGUUGACUAGUAGCAGACUAGAGCUGUGCAUGCAAUUACGUAGUAGCUUCCUAGUAGUUUCUAGAAAUAUGCUUUGCAGGGUAGGGGUAGCAGUCCCGUGAGUGGCAUGCAAGUUUUUUUUAGAAAAGGAGGAUGAUCCCCGGCCUCUGCAUCUGGGCGAUGCAUACGGCCACUUUAUUAAUUAUUCUCACAAGACCAUACAAAGUAAUACAACAGUAAGACUAAAGCCGCCGUCUAAGCAUCUCUAUCCAGCUGAUGAAGGGGCGCAGAUAGCCUGGGCCUAAUACCAAAUAGACAUCGCAGUCAAACCUAACAUCUAAGACCUGAGAACCCAUCCAGGACGCCUGCCGGGCAUGGGUCUCACCGGUCCGGCGUGCACUCAGAUGCCGCCGCCGCCAACUGCCACCGCUCCAUCUUCAGAACUGUACUGAUGCAUCAACCUUGCUCGGUCUAGCUAUCGUCGACGCCACCAUGGCGCCAAACGGCACCUCCUCCCUGCAUGCAAACAGUUGUGCACGUCGCGGUCGCCACUGAUACACCUCAGCGCCAUGCUGCCAGGUAUCACCAGCCGACACAGCUUGAAGUCCUUGGAAGAUCUGUCGUGCGUAGCACCUGCCGACCAGGCAUGACAAAGCGUAGCACCUGUCGGUCAGGCAUGACUUGACAUCACCCCCGAAGCUCCGUGCAAGACGAAGCCGCUCCACCUCCUGCCUCUGACAUCCAGCGCUGCUCCGCAAACGAUGCUCCCAAGAGAGAAAAGACACCGCACUGCCGCCAUCGUCCGAUCUGGAACACCAGAUCCUAGGGUUUCCCCCGGAGCAGCACGAGUGGGUCGACAAUAGUUACACGACGAUGCCUUCAUCAAGGUAACGGCGAGAACGCCGCCAUCGCCUACCAUCGGCUCGGUUUUCACCGGCAACCAUGUCUCCCCAACUCGCAGCCGGGACAAGAUGAUGGAUCUCGAGAUCCGAUCACCAAGCCUCUGGUCGCCCAUCUCAGGAAGAAGAUGACCACCACGUCCAGCAGUCUCACCACGCCGGGCACGUGUCGCCGCCGGCACCCCCAUGGUGCCUAGAGGCCGACAAGCCCCGACGAAUCCCAUGCCUCGCCAGCCGCCAUGGCCCGGACCCCGGCACCACCAGAUCCAGAUCGAAUCGGGGUCCAGGGCCCCAUGCCGCAACCGCCGCGGAGGCAGCACCACUGGACGGUGCCUAGCCCUCCAGCACCACUGUGAGUGGCAUGCAAGUACGUAGGUAAUUUCGCGUGUGUGUGUGCAUUGUGCACGACCAGCCCUAUAAAAGGACCCCGGUCCUUCAGUUGUAAUAAGGCCAUUUUCAUUUCUAUCCAGCCAAGCCUCAAGUGUAGUACUACUACAUAUGCGUGUGUGUGUGCAAAGCAGCACUUGCAAGUGUGCUUUGCCAUUCUGCUUGUUGCUUCGGUAGUAUACUUGAGUGCAAGUAGUAGUAGGCUAGUACCACACAGCCGCUGCCCUGUGUAGUUCAUCUCAUCCUUGACUUCGUCCGAUCCUGAGUAGCCAGCUACUCUGUACGUAGUUCGGGCUGACAAUUGGCACCAGAGUCUCAGGUUAUGCCGAAGCAUAUGCCGAAAGGAGGCGUUGCCGACGAUGGUUUCAAGACCGCCGAGCAAAGCUCGACUGAGGACACCCGUGCGGCGGACGCGCUCGCGCUGUGAGGCAGGCCGGGAGGUGAGCUGGGUGCGCCACGCUCCGUGCGAGACGUGGGCAUGUCCAGUACCUCCUUCCCUCUCCUCACGCGGACCAACUAUCCCAGUUGGUCCGUCCUGAUGAAAGUCAUCAUGGAGGCGCGACAUAUGUGGGAAGCUGUGGAAACCGGCAAUGUCGAGUACGAGGAGGACCGGCUGGCGAUGGAGGCGAUCUUGCGCUCCGUCCCAGAGGAGAUGGUGCUCACCCUUGGCGCCAAGGAGACGGCCAAGGAAGCAUGGGACACCAUCAAGACUCUGCGCAUCGGCGUGGAGCGCGUACGGGAGUCGAAGGCCCGGACCUUGUGCCUCCAGUACGAGGAGAUCUGGUUCAAGGCCGGUGAACAAGUCGA